Molecule: ribosomal RNA, 775 nt
Filed under: uncultured Neocallimastigales
Lineage: Eukaryota; Fungi; Neocallimastigomycota; Neocallimastigomycetes; Neocallimastigales
Description: partial large subunit ribosomal RNA
Rfam family: Eukaryotic large subunit ribosomal RNA
Source: RNAcentral
AGAGAGAGACAUGCGCGCAUAUCAAUAAGCGGAGGAAAAGAAACUAACAAGGAUUCCCUUAGUAACGGCGAGUGAAGCGGGAAGAGCUCAAAUUUGAAAUCUUCAAGGUUUUACCUUGACGAAUUGUAGUUUAAAGAAGUGUUUUCUGCUGAAGUUUUGGUAAAAGUUCUUUGGAAUAGGACAUCAUAGAGGGUGAGAAUCCCGUAUUUGACCAUUAUUUUCAGCUUUGUGAUACACUUUCAAAGAGUCGGAUUGUUUGGGAAUGCAGUCCAAAAUGGGUGGUAAAUUUCAUCUAAAGCUAAAUAUUGGCGAGAGACCGAUAGCGAACAAGUACCGUGAGGGAAAGAUGAAAAGAACUUUGAAAAGAGAGUUAAACAGUACGUGAAAUUGUCAAAAGGGAAGCGUUUGACACCAGUGUUGUUUUCUCGAAAAUCAAUUAAAAAUGGCUCGAUUUUGUAUUGCUUGAGACCUUAAAAGCUCACUGUACAUUUUUCGUGUCUUUUUUAAUGCACUUUUCGUUUAACAAGUCAACAUCAGUUUCUUUUGUUGUAAAAGGGUCAUUGGAAGGUGGCUUUCUUUUCGGAGAAAGUGUCUAUAGCCUUUGGCCUCUGCAAUCGGAGAGACUGAGGUCUGCAGCGUAGACUCUUCGGGGUUAGAUACAUUUGUGCUAAGUUAUAGCUUUUUAUAGACAACUUGUUGACUAUAAUUAGUCUUGUAGCUUACUCGCUUAUGCUAUUUUACCUACGCUUAGGAUGUUGAAGAUGUAGCACAUCAU